Ahaetulla prasina is the source of this 201-nucleotide small nucleolar RNA. RefSeq annotates it as small nucleolar RNA SNORA74. NCBI's taxonomy places the organism in Eukaryota, Metazoa, Chordata, Lepidosauria, Squamata, Colubridae. The transcript has a single exon. The record is from RefSeq and is a predicted model, not a curated record.
UCCAGUGGUAGUCAGCUGUCUGGGUCAUUUUCCAUGUCUUUGACAGUGUUACACUACUGGGAGAUAAAAGGACCGUCUCGGGGUCUGCCAGUGCCUGUCUCUGUUCCGGAGACGGUCGACGUGGCCUGUGCGGUCCUGGGCUUCUUAGCAAGUGUGCUGAGCAAAACAGACCCGGUCAGCACAAGUUUGGAAGCAAACACA